Hypanus sabinus (Atlantic stingray) is the source of this 3724-nucleotide long non-coding RNA. RefSeq lists it as uncharacterized. NCBI's taxonomy places the organism in Eukaryota, Metazoa, Chordata, Chondrichthyes, Myliobatiformes, Dasyatidae. The transcript has 6 exons. The record is from RefSeq and is a predicted model, not a curated record.
CAUUCUGAUUCUUCCAAUCCUCCAAAUAUUGUCGUGCAGUACCAAGUCAUGUGAAAGGAAGAGGAUUGUAUAAUAUGUAUCAGCUGAAAACAAGGUUUCAUUGGAAACAAUGCACAAAUUUUAAUCAGAUAUAAGAUACACACACCUGCACACAAGAAUUGGUGAAUACUUCCAGCAUCUUCAAAAGAAUCAUGUCAUGUGUAAUUGGAACAGCAACAAGUACAACAGCUAACCACAGUGGACAAAGAAAGAUCACCAUGGAGGAAAUUAUGCUCACCAAAAAGUCAUCUUCAGAGACUAUUGUUAGCAAAGAAGCAGAGAAAAAAAUAUAUUCACCCCUAAUCCUUUCUGUAAUCCCCGUGUGCACUUCAUCCUACCAUCUCUUCCAAAAUUCUGCCUGCGUGUUGUGUAAGCAGGUGUCUCUCACUUUCUCUCAUUCUCACACUACAGCCAUAUCUUUAUGUGAAAAUGGAUCUAGUACUUUUCCAGCAUAUAUGGCAAACAAACUCCUCUCAGGCUUCCUGCUGGGUAUAGGUGUCGAUUAUAAGCAUGCUUCAAUGACAAACUCUGCCAUCUUCAUCGGGGUAUGUCUAGUACAGUGUUAUAUAUACCCCCAUCAUCCAUCCUUCCUCAUUGGUUAGUCCUCAUCCAAUCAGGUUUCCACUGUCCCACUAUGUUUACAAUCAAAUUCCAGUUCUUACUUAGAGUGAGACCUUUGUAUUUAUUAGAAUUCUUUUCCUCUAAUUUUAUUUCAAUGAUUUCGUUCGCCAGGGUGGUCUAAAAGCCAUUGGCGUGGCCCAGUAGUUUUGUGCCAUCAAAGUCACCCCUAUGGCCAUUGCAAAUGCAAUGUUCUUUAGAUCUUUAUGUCUUUUUCCUUUCAAUAGCUAAAUGUUUAAAAUGGUUUGUAAUCUAGAACGAUAUUAGAAACAGAAGUAUCCUUCUACCAGAAGUGGGAAAAGGAAAAUACAUGUACCAGCUACUCAUGUGAACAUGGUUCUUUAUUAGUAUGAAUAUAAAGAACACAACAUGGUGUCAGAGGUCGGUCUGGAAGAAUAAUAUGUUUCCUAACAUGGGAGAAUCGAAGAUAAUUUUCUGAAAAAAGAGUUUGAAUUGGUUUGGUGUUGCUAACAGUUUUCCAAAUGGAAGGUUUACAGCCUCCAUCGACACUUCAAUUGUCUGGGAACGCAGCUGAGAACUGGAGAAAAUUUAAGCAGCAUUUUGAAUUGCAUUUAUUAGCAAUCGAAGCGGAUAGAAAACCAGAAAAAAUGAAAGCUGUGCUUCUACGCCACUUAAUAGAUGACGACGCAAUUGAGGUAUAUAAUCAUUUUAUUUUCGAAGAUAGAGAUAAUUUAAAAUUGGAAUCGAUAAUAGACAAAUUUGAAUAAUUUUGUAUAAGGAAGCAUGAUGCUUCGGAAACAGUGACGUCACAGGCUAAAGGGCUAAACAAAACCAACAGCGAGCAAGACGUCAUCUGAGAGGAAAAAGCUAUAUGAUCGCUGUGGGUGGCAGCACCGGCCAAAACAGUGUCCAGUGUAUGGGAAAAUGUACAACGACUGCGAUACCGUUUUCAUCAGCUUCUGUUUGGAAUUGCAUCAGCUCCUGAAGUGUACCAUAAAACCACUUGCAUGCUAUAUGAGCGCAUUGAGGGCAUGAAUACUUCCAUGGAUGAUAUUAUUGUUUGGGGAUCAUCUAAACAAGAGCAUGCUGCCAGACUCAGACAAGCCUUUGAGGCAAUACGCAAGUUUUUUUCCAGACAUGGUGUACCUGAUGAAGUUUUCAGAGACAAUCAUCCACAAUUCAAUGGUGAAUGCAUGAGGCUCUUUGCUCAGGAAUGGGGCUUUGUUCAUACAACAUCUAGUCCAUUUUUCCCUCAGUCCAAUGGAUUAGCUGAGAAGUCAGUAGGAAUUAACAAGAAACGGAUACACAAAGCAAAAGAUAAUGGAGGUGAUUUUGAUAAAGCUUUGUUAGCCUAUCACAGUACUACACUUGAAUGCAGAUAUUCACCUGCUCAGCUCUUGAUGGGACGCUGUUUGAGAUCCAAUCUGCCAAUAGAUGAGAGCCUUCUGAGAACAGAGGGUUGAACAAGUGAAAAGAUGGAAAGAUGAACACAAAGCAAAGCAGAAAAUAUACUUUGACAGAUGUUCUCGUCUGUUACCGGAAGUGCACCAAGGAGAUGAAGUAAGGUUAGAAGACAAAAUGAACACAUGGACAUAGAAAGCUACAGUAGUUGAAGAAGUACAUCCCAGAUCAUACAUGAUCCAAACAGAAGAAGGAGCAGUGUUAAGAAGAAAUUGCAAAGACCUCAAGAAAGAGCCAAUUUUCAGAGUUUCAGUUAACUGAUGCAGACCAGACAAAACAUGAAAAUAACAAUGAGACACAAGAACUGUGUGAACCACUUAGAAGGUCUACUCAUGUUCAUAAACGCCCAGAGAGACUGAUAGAGACCUGUUAAAUAAUGCAUUUGCUUUGGUCAAUGUUGUUAAUUGUUUUUCUUUUUAAGGACAGGAAGAUGUGGUGAUAUGACGUGUAAGAAUGUGAUUGGAGAGAGUUCUGAGCAUGCGCAAAAAUGAUAGAAAGAUCAAGAAAACAGAAAACAUGGUAUUGUAAACACGUGUGGUUGUUGUUAAAUAAAAAUUCUAUUUCUUCCAGAACAUGGUUCUUUAUUAGUAACUCACAGUACAUAUGAAUAUAAAGAAUACAACUGAUACAACCAUUGUUGGUAAGAUCUCAGGUGGUAACGAGAGGGCAUACAGGAGUGAGAUAUGACAACUAGUGGAAUGGUGCAACAGCAACACCCUGGUACUCAGUGUCAGUAAGACGAAAGAGCUAAUUGUGGACUUCAGGAAGGGUAAGAUGAAGGAACACAUACCAAUCCUCAUAGAGUGAUCAGAAGUGGAGAGAGUGAGCAGCUUCAAGUUCCUUGGUGUCAAGAUCUCUGAGGAUCUAACCUGGUCCCAAAAUAAUCGAUGUAGUCAUAAAGAAGACAAGACAGCAGCUCUGCUUUUUAGGAGCUUGAAGAGAUUUGACAUGUCAACAAAUACAUCCAAAAACUUCUAUAGAUGUACCGUGGAGAACAUUCUAACAGGCUGCAUCACUGUCUGGUAUGGAGGGGCUACUGCACAGGACUGAAGGAAGCUGCAGAAGGUUGUAAAUCUAGUCAGUUCCAUCGUGGGCACUAGCCUACAAAAUACCCAGGACAUCUUUAGGGAGCGGUGUCUCAGAAAGGCAGCAUUCAUUAUUAAGGACCUCCCGCACCCAGGGCAUGCCCUUUUCUCACUGUUACCAUCAAGUAGGCGAUACAGAAGCCUGAAGACACACACUUAGCAAUUCAGGAACAGCUUCUUCUCCUCUGCCAUCUGAUUCCUAUAUGCAUAUUGAAGCUUUGAACACUACCUCACUUUUUUAAAUAUAUAUUAUUUCUGUUUUUGCACAUUUUUAAAAAUCUAUUCAAUAUACAAAAUUGAUUUACUUGUUUAUUUAUUAUUAUGUUUUAUUUUAUUUAUUAUUAUUUUCUCUCUCUCUGUUAGAUUAUGUAUUGUACUGAACUGCUGCUGCUAAGUUAACAAUUUUCACAUUACAUGCUGGUGAUAAUAAACCCGAUUCUGAUUCUGGAAGUUCAUUACUUAGGAGACAGAAUUAACUGGAUUCUGGUCUAACUGCACAAGAAGCAUAGCAUUAGUCUGUGACACAUGUUGUCCUUAUUAUGUUCAAGGCUUCACAGGGC